UACGUAGGUGGCAAGCGUUGUCCGGAUUUAUUGGGUUUAAAGGGUGCGUAGGCGGCUUUGUAAGUCAGUGGUGAAAUACUCUAGCUUAACUAGAGGGGUGCCAUUGAUACUGCAGAGCUUGAGUACAGAUGAGGUAGGCGGAAUUGACGGUGUAGCGGUGAAAUGCAUAGAUAUCGUCAAGAACACCGAUAGCGAAGGCAGCUUACUGGGCUGUAACUGACGCUGAUGCACGAAAGCGUGGGGAGCAAACAGG
This 253-nucleotide ribosomal RNA is filed under the name uncultured bacterium. RNAcentral's name for it is "partial 16S ribosomal RNA". It matches the Rfam family "Bacterial small subunit ribosomal RNA", at positions 524 to 776 of the family's 1533-position model. The record is from RNAcentral.